Molecule: long non-coding RNA, 661 nt
Filed under: Rattus norvegicus (Norway rat)
Lineage: Eukaryota; Metazoa; Chordata; Mammalia; Rodentia; Muridae
Description: long non-coding RNA NONRATT006552
Source: RNAcentral
AUCCCUGACCCGGAAGAGGCCUGGGCCCUAAGAAGUGUGUGGGCCUGGGCCUAUCCCUAACUCUUGAAGAGGCCUGGGCCCAAAAAGAACAAAUAUGGGCCUGGGCCAUUCCCUGACCCAGAAAGGGCCUGGGCCCAAAUGAAGAAGUGAUGUGGGCCUGGGACUAUCCCUGACCUUGAAGAGGCCUGGGCCCAAAAAGAAGAAAUAUGGGCCUGGGCCGAUCCCUAACUCUUGAAGAGGCCUGGGCCCAAAAAGAAGAAAUAUGGGCCUGGGCCUAUCCUUAACCCUUGAAGAGGCCUGGGUCCAAAUGAGAAGUGAUAUGGGCCUGGGCCUAUCCUUAACCCUUGAAGAGGCCUGGGCCCAAAGAAGAGGAAAUAUGGGCCUGGACCAAUCCCAAAACCUUGAGGAGGCCUGGUCCCACAGAAGAAGAAAUAUGGGCCUGGGCCAAUCCCUGACCCUGAAGAGGCCUGGGCCCAAAAAGAAGAAAUAUGGGCCUGGGCCAAUCCCUGACCCAGAAAAGGCCUGGGCCCAAAUGAAGAAGAAAUAUGGGCCUGGGUCAAUCCUUGAUCCUGAAGAGGCCUGGGCCCAAAAAAAGUGUGUGGGCCUGGGCCUAUCCCUAACCCUUGAAGAGUCCUGGGCCCAAAAAAGAAGAAAUAUGGGC